AGGGUAGCUUAGAAAUCUUAUAAAAAUCCACAGCCACACCUAUGAUAGGUAGUGGAAGGCUGACAAGUAAGCAGCAAGCGUGUUGAAAAGAAAGUUGUUGUAUUUGAUCAACAAAGGAUUCACUCUUCUUCGAUUAGGGCGGCCAUGGAAGGGUAUCUAAGGCUCAUUCCCUCCAAUGCCUCGUUAGUUUCUACCUACUCUUCUAUCUCAACAUCCUGGCUACUCUUCAAGACUGCAUAUAAUCAGGUCAUACCAAAACAG
Molecule: unclassified non-coding RNA, 261 nt
Filed under: Hevea brasiliensis (rubber tree)
Lineage: Eukaryota; Viridiplantae; Streptophyta; Magnoliopsida; Malpighiales; Euphorbiaceae
Source: RNAcentral